GGUUGUGGCUCAGUGGUAGAGCACUCGCUUAGCAUGUGUGAGGCACUGUGUUCAAUCCUCAGCACCA
RNAcentral lists this transfer RNA (67 nucleotides) under Marmota monax (woodchuck). RNAcentral's name for it is "tRNA.Ala". It matches the Rfam family "tRNA". Rfam says of the family: Transfer RNA (tRNA) molecules are approximately 80 nucleotides in length. Their secondary structure includes four short double-helical elements and three loops (D, anti-codon, and T loops). Further hydrogen bonds mediate the characteristic L-shaped molecular structure. tRNAs have two regions of fundamental functional importance: the anti-codon, which is responsible for specific mRNA codon recognition, and the 3' end, to which the tRNAs corresponding amino acid is attached (by aminoacyl-tRNA synthetases). tRNAs cope with the degeneracy of the genetic code in two manners: having more than one tRNA (with a specific anti-codon) for a particular amino acid; and 'wobble' base-pairing, i.e. permitting non-standard base-pairing at the 3rd anti-codon position. Lineage: Eukaryota; Metazoa; Chordata; Mammalia; Rodentia; Sciuridae. The record is from RNAcentral.